RNAcentral lists this ribosomal RNA (279 nucleotides) under uncultured bacterium. RNAcentral's name for it is "partial 16S ribosomal RNA". It matches the Rfam family "Bacterial small subunit ribosomal RNA", at positions 506 to 784 of the family's 1533-position model. The record is from RNAcentral.
UGCCAGCCGCCGCGGUAAUACGGAGGGUGCAAGCGUUGUUCGGAUUUAUUGGGCGUAAAGCGAGUGUAGGUGGUUUGUCAAGUCGGGUGUGAAAUCCCAGGGCCCAACCCUGGAACUGCACCCGAUACUGGCAGGCUAGAGUCCCGGAGAGGAUGGCGGAAUUCCCGGUGUAGGGGUGAAAUCCGUAGAUAUCGGGAGGAACACCAGUGGCGAAGGCGGCCAUCUGGACGGUGACUGACACUGAGACCCGAAAGCGUGGGUAGCAAACAGGAUUAGAUA